AAUAUUUCCAACGUAACAUAACAUCUUUAACAAUAUCUUAUGAUCGUAAGUCCAAGGUUGAGAAUUUAUCACGCACAAUACGCCGUGAACGGUUUCGCGUAGUUUAGCCAACGAAAAUAUUAACAACACCAUACGGCGUACAGGAAAAUCAUAAAUCGCUCUUAAUUCGAAUUUUUUAACAUUUGUAUUUAAAAAUAUGAAAGAAAUAAUUUCUGCAGCAAUAUCAGUUAUCGCGGUAUUAUGUAAAUAUUUAACAUAAUUCUGUUCGGUUUUCUAUGAAUUGUAUAACAUUUUGUUAAUUUGUGCUUUUAAUUUUAAGGUGCUGUAACCUUAGCUGUAAUGACAUCAUUUGACGAUAAUAAACAAAUGAAUGUCUACGAUCAAAUAUCUGCAGAUACGAAAAAAGAAGAUGAAAAAAUUAAAAAAUUUAUCGAUGAAGAGUGCAAAAAAAAAAAAAAAUGAAUAACAUUUGAUCAACUCGCUAAUUUGUUUAUUAAAAGCAAGUGUUAUUUUACUGAUACUUCUUAUAUAACGUCUUGUUUUUUUUUUUAAAAAAAAACUAAAUAAUUUUCAAGCAUUACAUAAUGCUUGAACAUUAUAUAGUUAUUUUUUUUUUUCACCUAAAAGUUACACCAUUAACCCUGGAUCACAUAAUAUAUUUUUAAUCUAGCUACAUUAAAUAUUUUAUUGUGCGAUCCAGCUUUUAAUAUCUAUAACUUUAUAAAUCAACAACUUGGUAUGUUAAUUACAAUUUUUUCAAGUGCCUGGUUUUAAUAUCUAAGUAUUUUAACAUAAAAAUAUCAGUGUUUUCCCCACCAAUACGUUGGAUGUAUAAAUGACCCUAUCAAACAAAAUUAUUUCUUAUACCGACUCAUCACAUUCGACAUUGGCCCUAUUGAUUGCAUACAUUAUCAUAAACAUUUGCACACAGUAUGCAUAUUAAUAUAAUAACAUUUUUUUAAUCAUGUGCGUUAAGUUAGGCCCUGGUCCCCCGACUUUAUAUUCGUUUUUAUAAUCAUUUCACCAUCAAUUGACAUUUUAACUUACAAAAUCUUCAUUGUCCUCUAUAUCCAAUGAUAGCACAAUAGUCACUUAUUCAAUUUUUAUUUUUAUUAACUUGUAAUUAUUAUUUUGAUGUCGUUUUGUAAACAUUUUUAAUUUGAAUUUUUGUAAUAAAUUGAUUUUGAUAUACAGUUAAAUAAA
This is a non-coding RNA of Cinara cedri, 1203 nucleotides long. The record is from the annotation of a GenBank genome assembly. Lineage: Eukaryota; Metazoa; Arthropoda; Insecta; Hemiptera; Aphididae.